AGGAAUAUUGGUCAAUGGGCGAGAGCCUGAACCAGCCAAGUCGCGUGAGGGAAGACGGCCCUACGGGUUGUAAACCUCUUUUGUCAGGGAGCAAGAACAGGCACGUGUGCCUGACUGAGAGUACCUGAAGAAAAAGCAUCGGCUAACUCCGUGCCAGCAGCCGCGGUAAUACGGAGGAUGCGAGCGUUAUCCGGAUUUAUUGGGUUUAAAGGGUGCGUAGGCGGACUGCCAAGUCAGCGGUAAAAUAGCGGGGCUCAACCCCGUCGAGCCGUUGAAACUGGUGGUCUUGAGUGGGCGAGAAGUACGCGGAAUGUGUGGUGUAGCGGUGAAAUGCAUAGAUAUCACGCAGAACUCCGAUUGCGAAGGCAGCGUACCGGCGCCCAACUGACGCUGAAGCACGAAAGCGUGGGUAUCGAACAGGAUUAGAUACCCUGGUAGUCCACGCAGUAAACGAUGAAUGCUAGCUGUCCGGGACGAAUGAGUCCUGGGUGGCACAGCGAAAGCGUUAAGCAUUCCACCUGGGGAGUACGCCGGCAACGGUGAAACUCAAAGGAAUUGACGGGGGCCCGCACAAGCGGAGGAACAUGUGGUUUAAUUCGAUGAUACGCGAGGAACCUUACCCGGGCUCAAACGCACUACGAAUGAUGCUGAAAGGUGUCAGCCAGCAAUGGCGGAGUGCGAGGUGCUGCAUGGUUGUCGUCAGCUCGUGCCGUGAGGUGUCGGCUUAAGUGCCAUAACGAGCGCAACCCCUAUUGACAGUUGCUAACGGGUCAAGCCGAGGACUCUGUCGAGACUGCCGGCGCAAGCUGUGAGGAAGGCGGGGAUGACGUCAAAUCAGCACGGCCCUUACGUCCGGGGCGACACACGUGUUACAAUGGCAGGUACAGCGGGAAGCCACCUGGCGACAGGGAGCGGAACCCGAAAACCUGUCUCAGUUCGGAUUGGAGUCUGCAACCCGACUCCAUGAAGCUGGAUUCGCUAGUAAUCGCGCAUCAGCCAUGGCGCGGUGAAUACGUUCCCG
RNAcentral lists this ribosomal RNA (1021 nucleotides) under uncultured bacterium. RNAcentral describes it as "bacterial SSU rRNA". It matches the Rfam family "Bacterial small subunit ribosomal RNA", at positions 357 to 1376 of the family's 1533-position model. The record is from RNAcentral.